This 460-nucleotide ribosomal RNA is filed under the name uncultured bacterium. RNAcentral's name for it is "partial 16S ribosomal RNA". It matches the Rfam family "Bacterial small subunit ribosomal RNA", at positions 338 to 795 of the family's 1533-position model. The record is from RNAcentral.
CCUACGGUUGGCAGCAGUGAGGAAUAUUGGUCAAUGGGCGUAAGCCUGAACCAGCCAAGUCGCGUGAGGGAUGAAGGUUCUAUGGAUCGUAAACCUCUUUUAUAAGGGAAUAAAGUGUGGGACGUGUCCUAUUCUGUAUGUACCUUAUGAAUAAGGAUCGGCUAACUCCGUGCCAGCAGCCGCGGUAAUACGGAGGAUCCGAGCGUUAUCCGGAUUUAUUGGGUUUAAAGGGUGCGUAGGCGGCCUGUUAAGUCAGCGGUGAAAGGCUGGGGCUCAACCAUAGAAUUGCCGUUGAAACUGGUGGGCUUGAGAGUGUUUGAGGCAGGCGGAAUGCGUGGUGUAGCGGUGAAAUGCUUAGAGAUCACACAGAACCCCGAUUGCGAAGGCAGCCUGCCAAGCCAUGACUGACGCUGAUGCACGAAAGCGUGGGGAUCAAACAGGAUUAGAUACCCGAGUAGUC